This 480-nucleotide ribosomal RNA is filed under the name uncultured bacterium. RNAcentral describes it as "partial 16S ribosomal RNA". It matches the Rfam family "Bacterial small subunit ribosomal RNA", at positions 28 to 507 of the family's 1533-position model. The record is from RNAcentral.
GACGAACGCUGGCGGCGUGCUUAACACAUGCAAGUCGAACGAUGAAGCAAAGAAUCGAAGCUUCGGCAGAAAUUCAUUUCGGAUUAGUGGCAGACGGGGGAGUAACGCGUGAGCAACCUACCUCUUACAAAGGGAUAGCCUCGGGAAACCGGGAUUAAUACCAUAUAACAUUGUGACGAAGCAUUUCGAUGCAAUCAAAGCUACGGCGGUAAGAGAUGGGCUCGCGUCCCAUUAACCGGAUGGUGAGGUAACGGCUCACCAUAGUGACGAUGGGUAACCGGCAUGAGAGGGUGAACGGUCACACUGGAACUGAGACCCGGUCCAGACUCCUACGGGAGGCAGAAGUGGGGCAUAAUGCACAAUGGAGGGAACUAUGAUGCAGCGCCGACGCGUGAGUGAUGAAGGAAUUCGUGUCGUAAACCUCUGUUCUAUGGGAAGAAAAGGACUGUACCAUAGGAGAAAGCGACGGCUAAAUACGUG